GGGUUGUGAGGUUAAGCGACUAAGCGUACACGGUGGAUGCCCUGGCAGUCAGAGGCGAUGAAGGGCGUGCUAAUCUGCGAUAAGCGCCGGUAAGGUGAUAUGAACCGUUAUAACCGGCGAUACCCGAAUGGGGAAACCCAGUGUGACUUGUCACACUAUCAUUAACUGAAUCCAUAGGUUAAUGAGGCGAACCGGGGGAACUGAAACAUCUAAGUACCCCGAGGAAAAGAAAUCAACCGAGAUUCCCCCAGUAGCGGCGAGCGAACGGGGAGGAGCCCAGAGCCUGAAUCAGCAUGUGUGUUAGUGGAAGCGUCUGGAAAGGCGCGCGAUACAGGGUGACAGCCCCGUACACAAAAGCGCAUGUGCUGUGAGCUCGAUGAGUAGGGCGGGACACGUGGUAUCCUGUCUGAAUAUGGGGGGACCAUCCUCCAAGGCUAAAUACUCCUGACUGACCGAUAGUGAACCAGUACCGUGAGGGAAAGGCGAAAAGAACCCCGGCGAGGGGAGUGAAAAAGAACCUGAAACCGUGUACGUACAAGCAGUGGGAGCCCCACCACUAAGCCAGUGGUGAACUCCACAUACGCAUCCUUUGCUGAGGAUACGGUUAACGGAGCGAAAGCGACGUUCAACCGCAAAAGAAGCAGAGGGGGCUUAGUGGUGGGGUGACUGCGUACCUUUUGUAUAAUGGGUCAGCGACUUAUAUUCUGUAGCAAGGUUAACCGAAUAGGGGAGCCGGAGGGAAACCGAGUCUUAACCGGGCGUUAAGUUGCAGGGUAUAGACCCGAAACCCGGUGAUCUAGCCAUGGGCAGGUUGAAGGUUGGGUAACACUAACUGGAGGACCGAACCGACUAAUGUUGAAAAAUUAGCGGAUGACCUGUGGCUGGGGGUGAAAGGCCAAUCAAACCGGGAGAUAGCUGGUUCUCCCCGAAAGCUAUUUAGGUAGCGCCUCGUGAAUUCAUCUCCGGGGGUAGAGCACUGUUUCGGCUAGGGGGCCAUCCCGGCUUACCAACCCGAUGCAAACUGCGAAUACCGGAGAAUGUUAUCACGGGAGACACACGGCGGGUGCUAACGUCCGUCGUGAAGAGGGAAACAACCCAGACCGCCAGCUAAGGUCCCAAAGUCAUGGUUAAGUGGGAAACGAUGUGGGAAGGCCCAGACAGCCAGGAUGUUGGCUUAGAAGCAGCCAUCAUUUAAAGAAAGCGUAAUAGCUCACUGGUCGAGUCGGCCUGCGCGGAAGAUGUAACGGGGCUAAACCAUGCACCGAAGCUGCGGCAGCGACACUCAGGUGUUGUUGGGUAGGGGAGCGUUCUGUAAGCCUGCGAAGGUGGCCUGUGAGGGUUGCUGGAGGUAUCAGAAGUGCGAAUGCUGACAUAAGUAACGAUAAUGCGGGUGAAAAACCCGCACGCCGGAAGACCAAGGGUUCCUGUCCAACGUUAAUCGGGGCAGGGUGAGUCGACCCCUAAGGCGAGGCCGAAAGGCGUAGUCGAUGGGAAACGGGUUAAUAUUCCCGUACUUGGUGUUACUGCGAAGGGGGGACGGAGAAGGCUAUGUUGGCCGGGCGACGGUUGUCCCGGUUUAAGCGUGUAGGUGUGUGUUCCAGGUAAAUCCGGUUCACUUUAACACUGAGGCGUGACGACGAGGCACUACGGUGCUGAAGCAACAAAUGCCCUGCUUCCAGGAAAAGCCUCUAAGCAUCAGGUAACAUCAAAUCGUACCCCAAACCGACACAGGUGGUCAGGUAGAGAAUACCAAGGCGCUUGAGAGAACUCGGGUGAAGGAACUAGGCAAAAUGGUGCCGUAACUUCGGGAGAAGGCACGCUGACACGUAGGUGAAGUGAUUUACUCACGGAGCUGAAGUCAGUCGAAGAUACCAGCUGGCUGCAACUGUUUAUUAAAAACACAGCACUGUGCAAACACGAAAGUGGACGUAUACGGUGUGACGCCUGCCCGGUGCCGGAAGGUUAAUUGAUGGGGUCAGCGCAAGCGAAGCUCCUGAUCGAAGCCCCGGUAAACGGCGGCCGUAACUAUAACGGUCCUAAGGUAGCGAAAUUCCUUGUCGGGUAAGUUCCGACCUGCACGAAUGGCGUAAUGAUGGCCAGGCUGUCUCCACCCGAGACUCAGUGAAAUUGAACUCGCUGUGAAGAUGCAGUGUACCCGCGGCAAGACGGAAAGACCCCGUGAACCUUUACUAUAGCUUGACACUGAACAUUGAGCCUUGAUGUGUAGGAUAGGUGGGAGGCUUUGAAGCGUGGACGCCAGUCUGCGUGGAGCCGACCUUGAAAUACCACCCUUUAAUGUUUGAUGUUCUAACGUGGACCCGUAAUCCGGGUUGCGGACAGUGUCUGGUGGGUAGUUUGACUGGGGCGGUCUCCUCCUAAAGAGUAACGGAGGAGCACGAAGGUUGGCUAAUCCUGGUCGGACAUCAGGAGGUUAGUGCAAUGGCAUAAGCCAGCUUGACUGCGAGCGUGACGGCGCGAGCAGGUGCGAAAGCAGGUCAUAGUGAUCCGGUGGUUCUGAAUGGAAGGGCCAUCGCUCAACGGAUAAAAGGUACUCCGGGGAUAACAGGCUGAUACCGCCCAAGAGUUCAUAUCGACGGCGGUGUUUGGCACCUCGAUGUCGGCUCAUCACAUCCUGGGGCUGAAGUAGGUCCCAAGGGUAUGGCUGUUCGCCAUUUAAAGUGGUACGCGAGCUGGGUUUAGAACGUCGUGAGACAGUUCGGUCCCUAUCUGCCGUGGGCGCUGGAGAACUGAGGGGGGCUGCUCCUAGUACGAGAGGACCGGAGUGGACGCAUCACUGGUGUUCGGGUUGUCAUGCCAAUGGCACUGCCCGGUAGCUAAAUGCGGAAGAGAUAAGUGCUGAAAGCAUCUAAGCACGAAACUUGCCCCGAGAUGAGUUCUCCCUGAGACUUUAAGUCUCCUGAAGGAACGUUGAAGACGACGACGUUGAUAGGCCGGGUGUGUAAGCGCAGCGAUGCGUUGAGCUAACCGGUACUAAUGAACCGUGAGGCUUAACCUUACAACGCCGAAG
This 3028-nucleotide ribosomal RNA is filed under the name Salmonella enterica subsp. enterica serovar Saintpaul str. SARA26. RNAcentral describes it as "bacterial LSU rRNA". It matches the Rfam family "Bacterial large subunit ribosomal RNA". Lineage: Bacteria; Pseudomonadati; Pseudomonadota; Gammaproteobacteria; Enterobacterales; Enterobacteriaceae. The record is from RNAcentral.